GAUGAAGAACGCAGCGAAAUGCGAUAAGUAAUGUGAAUUGCAGAAUUCAGUGAAUCAUCGAAUCUUUGAACGCACAUUGCGCCCGUCAGUAUUCUGGCGGGCAUGCCUGUUCGAGCGUCAUUACGCCCCUCAAGUCCCCUGUGGACUUGGUGUUGGGGAUCGGCGAGGCUGGUUUUCCAGCACAGCCGUCCCUUAAAUUAAUUGGCGGUCUCGCCGUGGCCCCCCUCUGCGCAGUAGUAAAACACUCGCAACAGGAGCCCGGCGCGGUCCACUGCCGUAAAACCCCCCAACUUUUUAUAGUUGACCUCGAAUCAGGUAGGACUACCCGCUGAACUUAAGCAUAUCAAUAAGCGGAGGA
Molecule: unclassified non-coding RNA, 358 nt
Filed under: soil metagenome
Description: partial contains 5.8S ribosomal RNA, internal transcribed spacer 2, and large subunit ribosomal RNA
Rfam family: 5.8S ribosomal RNA (bases 1-120)
Source: RNAcentral